RNAcentral lists this ribosomal RNA (468 nucleotides) under uncultured bacterium. RNAcentral describes it as "partial 16S ribosomal RNA". It matches the Rfam family "Bacterial small subunit ribosomal RNA", at positions 28 to 507 of the family's 1533-position model. The record is from RNAcentral.
GACGAACGCUGGCGGCGUGCUUAACACAUGCAAGUCGAACGGAAAGACCCUGCUUUUGUGGGGUUCUCGUGUGGCGCACGGGUGAGUAACACGUGAGUAACCUGCCCUUGUCUUUGUGAUAACUUCAGGAAACUCGGGCUAAUACCGGAUAGGAUCUCCUGCUGCAUGGUGGGGGUUGGAAAGUUUCGGCGGUUGUGGAUGGACUCGCUGCUUAUCAGCUUGUUUGUGGGGUAGUGGCUUACCAAGGCUUAGACGGGUAGCCGGCCUGAGAGGGGGACCGGCGACAUUGGGACUGAGAUACGGACCAGAAUGGUACGGGACGCAGUAGGGGGGAAUAUGGCACAGUGGGCGGAAGCGUGAGGCAGCAACGCCGGGAGCGGGAUGACGGCCUUCGGGUUGUAAACAGAUGUGGAAUGUGACGAAGCGGGAGUGACGGUAAUGGGUAAAGAAGCACCGGCUAACUACGUG